CAUUUUUAAAUAUCCAUUAACAUUUUUAUUUGUGGCAGGUUUUCUUGCUACACAAGUGGCGUUGACCUGGUGGCCUUGGAAGAGCACCCAAAAAAGAUAGGCAUCCUCCAACAGCUGAUGUUGAACAUUAACGCCGAGGGCUUCGAAUUCUCACGGUAUCUGCUUCAAUUUCGAGGAAUGCAUGACUUGGCCGCAGAGCAGGAGCACACCUUCCCUUAUGUAAGCUUCAGCAGGAAGCCCUCACAGAUGUGUUACAUUCUCAGUACGCCACACAGGGCGACAGUGCUGACAGCGGUUGCGGUUGGUUCGGUCGAUCAAGCAGUUCCUCUGGCGGGAACAAGAAUACAUGGCGUUGUUCUGCUGGCUGCGGCGGAAGAAACCCUAAAGAGCCUUCACAGGUGAUGACACCAUAGUGGAUCCCCGAGGACUUGUCCCCACAGAUUUUACAGGGGAUGACCUCGAUCUGAGCUGCAGGACCAAAAGCAAGAUUGAUCAGGUCAGAAGAAAACUUAGGAAGAAAACUUCAGUCAAGUGGUGUUAUCAUAUACUGUACUCCAAGGAUAUUUAACAAACAGUUUUAGGGGCCACAC
Molecule: long non-coding RNA, 590 nt
Organism: Nerophis lumbriciformis (worm pipefish)
Lineage: Eukaryota; Metazoa; Chordata; Actinopteri; Syngnathiformes; Syngnathidae
Source: RefSeq, a predicted model, not a curated record